Molecule: small nuclear RNA, 101 nt
Organism: Mesocricetus auratus (golden hamster)
Lineage: Eukaryota; Metazoa; Chordata; Mammalia; Rodentia; Cricetidae
Source: Ensembl
AAGUCAUUGCUGGAUUUGAAAACACAAUUGGAAUGAGACUGAAGAUGGGCAUGGCUCCUGUGGAAGGAUGACACAAAAAUUGGGGCACAUUCCAUAUUUUU